RNAcentral lists this microRNA precursor (81 nucleotides) under Petromyzon marinus (sea lamprey). Its description in RNAcentral is "Pma-Let-7-P2o16_pre stem-loop". The record is from RNAcentral. Lineage: Eukaryota; Metazoa; Chordata; Hyperoartia; Petromyzontiformes; Petromyzontidae.
UGAGGUAGUAGGUUGUAUAGUUUAAGGGGCAGACAUUCAUCUUCCCUUAUCGGAGAUAAGCUAUGCAGCCAACUGCCUUUC